Molecule: long non-coding RNA, 745 nt
Filed under: Callithrix jacchus (white-tufted-ear marmoset)
Lineage: Eukaryota; Metazoa; Chordata; Mammalia; Primates; Cebidae
Description: lncRNA (ENSCJAG00000086343.1)
Source: RNAcentral
AAAUCCCCACUGCCAGCCAAGGAAAUGGUUGAAGACCAAGGAGGGUUUAGAGUUCUAUGGCAGGUUUUGAUCACUUGGAUGGCGGCAGAAACAUGCUGAGACUGAGUUGGCUAUUGUAGAUCUCGUUAACUGUUUAUAUGAUGAUAUUAUUAUUACUGCCAUGUCCACCUACCAGGGCCACCUUCUCUUCAAAGAAUCCUCUACCACAGCCAGCUGUGGCUUUGGCUCUAACCUCAGCAGGGAACCUCAGUGACUUCUGGUCCUCUUCUGCUUAGCUAGAGGCAGAUCUAGCAGCAAAUGAUGUCUCUGCCUUAGCCUCCAUGUCCGCACACUGGGAUGAUGGUGCAAAGGUAAUCUGGGGAAAAACAAGGCCAUCCUGAGAAGAAAAGCAAGAGUGAGCAUCUGCCCCAGCCCUGGGGGCAGUUUCCCCUGCCCUCUCAUGCACCUUGAAACAUCUUUGGUGUGUUUGCCCUGUGCUGAGGCCUUUGCAAUGAGAGCGGCAUCUCUCUGGUUCCUGGAUAGCUCACUCUGGAGUGCUGCAUCCCUGUAUGUCGAGAGAAGGAUAGAGCUAGGAUUUCACAAAGGGCCUCAGAAACCAAACUUCAAAUGGACAUCAUGGCUUCCUAAUUGCUUUCUUCGCUGCUACCCACAGAGCUGUUUCUGGCACCUGAAUAACUGGCUUCCACCAGAUACUCCAUUGGAAGGUAUUAAAGAUUUUCCACUUAAAGUUUUCUCAAAGCUGUGA